RNAcentral lists this unclassified non-coding RNA (400 nucleotides) under soil metagenome. RNAcentral's name for it is "partial contains 5.8S ribosomal RNA, internal transcribed spacer 2, and large subunit ribosomal RNA". The stretch from base 1 to 122 matches the Rfam family "5.8S ribosomal RNA", at positions 35 to 154 of the family's 154-position model. The record is from RNAcentral.
GAUGAAGAACGUAGUGAAAUGCGAUACUUGGUGUGAAUUGCAGAAUCCCGUGAACCAUCGAGUCUUUGAACGCAAGUUGCGCCUCAAGCCAUUAGGUUGAGGGCACGUCUGCCUGGGCGUCACAUAUCGUUGCCUGAUGCCAGCUUCCUCGUGAUGGGUGACUGUGCAGGGCGAAUGAUGGCUUCCCGUGAGCAUUGUUGCCUCAUGGUUGGUUGAAAAUUGAGUCCUUGGUAGGGAGCGCCGUGAUAGAUGGUGGUUGAGUGACGAACGAGACCCAAUCAUGUGAGACCCCUACCGAAUUUGGCCUUCAUGACCCACAUGCGUCUUUGGAACGCUCAUGACGAGACCUCAGGUCAGGCGGGGCUACCCGCUGAGUUUAAGCAUAUCAAUAAGCGGAGGA